This 452-nucleotide long non-coding RNA is filed under the name Triticum aestivum (bread wheat). Its description in RNAcentral is "long non-coding RNA (TAES_LNC020381)". Lineage: Eukaryota; Viridiplantae; Streptophyta; Magnoliopsida; Poales; Poaceae. The record is from RNAcentral.
UACGUUUAUGCAGAACAGACGGGGAUCAUCACACAAAACCAUAAUAAAACAGAUGGGGAUCGUCACACAAAUCCAUAACAAUCUCAUUACCAAAACUGAUGCACCAUUGUUCAACUCAACCAACAACAAUUUUCGCCAUUGCCCUUACACCUUUGACGCAGCACGCCCCAAAAUCAUAUUUGAAUACAAGAUAAUAUACACUCUACAUCAAAACCAUAUGGUAUGGCGACCACCAAUCCCUUGAAGCGACCAAUGCAUGCACAAAUGAACUCCCCCAGAAAAAGAUUCAACUCAAAAAAUUGGUUGACAGUACCAAUGACGAAUUAUGGAAAGAAAAGCAAGCCCCAACCUUACAGCCACAAGACAGAAGAGUGGAACUAUGUGGAUAGGAUGGACUGGAGCAUAAGCUGCUGCUGUGGUUGCAAGGUGGAAAAUGUUGAGGCAAGAAAAUC